UACGUAGGGUGCAAGCGUUGUCCGGAAUUAUUGGGCGUAAAGAGCUCGUAGGCGGUCUGUCGCGUCUGCUGUGAAAACUCAGGGCUUAACCCUGAGCUUGCAGUGGGUACGGGCAGACUAGAGUGCGGUAGGGGAGACUGGAAUUCCUGGUGUAGCGGUGAAAUGCGCAGAUAUCAGGAAGAACACCCGUGGCGAAGGCGGCUCUCUGGUACGUGACUGACGCUGAGACGCGAAAGCGUGGGGAGCGAACAGG
Molecule: ribosomal RNA, 253 nt
Filed under: uncultured bacterium
Lineage: Bacteria
Description: partial 16S ribosomal RNA
Rfam family: Bacterial small subunit ribosomal RNA
Source: RNAcentral